UACAGAGGGUGCUAGCGUUGUUCGGAAUCAUUGGGCGUAAAGGGCGUGUAGGCGGUUUGUUAAGUCAUGUGUGAAAUCCCUCGGCUCAACCGGGGAACGACGCAUGAAACUGGCAAGCUAGAGUACCAAAGAGGGGGGUGGAAUUCCCGGUGUAGCGGUGAAAUGCGUAGAUAUCGGGAGGAACGCCGGUGGCGAAAGCGGCUCUCUGGGACGGUACUGACGCUGAGACGCGAAAGCGUGGGGAGCGAACAGG
Molecule: ribosomal RNA, 253 nt
Filed under: uncultured bacterium
Lineage: Bacteria
Description: partial 16S ribosomal RNA
Rfam family: Bacterial small subunit ribosomal RNA
Source: RNAcentral